RNAcentral lists this ribosomal RNA (1318 nucleotides) under Anelytra obtusa. Its description in RNAcentral is "16S ribosomal RNA". The stretch from base 628 to 1318 matches the Rfam family "Archaeal large subunit ribosomal RNA", at positions 1423 to 2837 of the family's 2987-position model. Lineage: Eukaryota; Metazoa; Arthropoda; Insecta; Orthoptera; Tettigoniidae. The record is from RNAcentral.
UAAAGAUAUGAUUAUUAUUAAUUGAAUUUGAUGUGAUGUUUAAUAAAAGUAUUUUUGUAAAAUAAAUGUUUAAGUAUAAAUAUUAGAAUAAAUUUGAGUAUAAUAGUGGAUUAGUACUGUAAAGGAAAGCUGAGAAAAGUAAAGUAUGGUUUGGGAAAAAGUAGAUUGGUUAUUGUACCUUGUGUAUCAGGGCUUAUUGAUUUUAAUGUGUGAAUUAUUUUUUCCCGAAUUAAGAGGGGCUAAUUUAUUAAGUUAAUUAAUGUGGAAUAAUUAUUAAGAAUAAUAAAUUAGGGGUGAUAUGUUAUCGGCUCUUAAGGUAUCUGGUUUUUCAAGAGAUAAAUUUAAUUUAGUCUACUUGUUUGUAAAGAUUUAAUUGGAAAGAAAUGUUUAUGAAAGUAGAAUAAUGGUUUGAGGGAUAAGCUUUGAAUUAUUAACUAUAAAUUUUUAUUGAUAAAUUUAAUUAUAGGCUUUAAAUUAGCCAUUAGUAGUAAGGUUGUUAUAAAUUAUUUUUUUGUUUUAUGAUUUUAUAAGAGUUUUAGUUAGUUUAUUGAAAUAAGGUAUAUAAUUAGUGGGUGCUUGUAAUAAUGAUAAAAUUAGUAUAUGUAUAGUAUUGUGAAAAUGUAAAAGUAUGAUAAAUUUACGUUAAGGAACUCGGCAAAUCUAAUACUCGCCUGUUUAACAAAAACAUGUCUUUUUGUGUUUAAUUUAAAGUCGGGCCUGCCCACUGAUAAUUAUUGAAGGGCCGCGGUAUUUUGACCGUGCAAAGGUAGCAUAAUCAUUAGUCUUUUAAUUGAAGGCUGGUAUGAAGGGUUUGACGAAGUAUUGACUGUCUCUAUGUAGUUGAUAGAAUUUAUUUUUUGAGUUAAAAAACUUAAAUGUUGAUAAAGGACGAGAAGACCCUAUAGAGCUUUAUAAAAUUGUAAUGGAUAUUUGUUUAGGUUAAGUUGGAUUUAUAUUAUAAUUAUAUUGUGUUGGGGUGACAUGAAGAUAUAAUUAACUCUUUAUAGAUAUUUACAUUAUUUAUGGAUAAAUGAUCCAAUAUUAGUGAUUUUAAGAUAAAGUUACCUUAGGGAUAACAGCGUAAUCCUACUUGAGAGUUCGUAUCGAAAGAGGGGGUUGCGACCUCGAUGUUGGACUAAGAAAAUGAUUAAAUGCAGUAGUUUAAUAAAUAGGUCUGUUCGACCUUUAAAAUCUUACAUGAUCUGAGUUCAGACCGGCGUGAGCCAGGUCGGUUUCUAUCCUUAUUUUAAUAGAAUACUUUAGUACGAAAGGACCAAGUAUGAGGAAUAUUUCUUAAGAAGGUGAAAAACAGUAAGAG